This is a long non-coding RNA of Quercus lobata, 96 nucleotides long. RefSeq lists it as uncharacterized. NCBI's taxonomy places the organism in Eukaryota, Viridiplantae, Streptophyta, Magnoliopsida, Fagales, Fagaceae. The record is from RefSeq and is a predicted model, not a curated record. The transcript is spliced from 2 exons.
GGAGGUGUUGGUUUUAGGACAUAAAUUUUGGGAUUGGAGAAGCUUCUAAGUGGGUCAAGGGGAAGCAAUUGGAAGAAGUUGUGGCCAUUAAAAACA